UGGGGAAUAUUGCACAAUGGGCGCAAGCCUGAUGCAGCCAUGCCGCGUGUGUGAAGAAGGCCUUCGGGUUGUAAAGCACUUUCAGCGAGGAGGAAGGUGGUGAGCUUAAUACGCUCAUCAAUUGACGUUACUCGCAGAAGAAGCACCGGCUAACUCCGUGCCAGCAGCCGCGGUAAUACGGAGGGUGCAAGCGUUAAUCGGAAUUACUGGGCGUAAAGCGCACGCAGGCGGUUUGUUAAGUCAGAUGUGAAAUCCCCGGGCUCAACCUGGGAACUGCAUUUGAAACUGGCAAGCUAGAGUCUCGUAGAGGGGGUAGAAUUCCAGGUGUAGCGGUGAAAUGCGUAGAGAUCUGGAGGAAUACCGGUGGCGAAGGCGGCCCCCUGGACGAAGACUGACGCUCAGGUGCGAAAGCGUGGGGCAGCAAACAGGAUUAGAUACCCUGGUAGUCCACGCUGUAAACGAUGUCGAUUUUGGAGGUUGUGCCCUUGAGGCGUGGCUUCCGGAGCUAACGCGUUAAAUCGACCGCCUGGGGAGUACGGCCGCAAGGUUAAAACUUAAAUGAAUUGCGGGUC
This 572-nucleotide ribosomal RNA is filed under the name uncultured bacterium. RNAcentral describes it as "partial 16S ribosomal RNA". It matches the Rfam family "Bacterial small subunit ribosomal RNA", at positions 355 to 918 of the family's 1533-position model. The record is from RNAcentral.